AAUGGUGUUGCUAUAAGGUUUGACCCUUUGAUAACUCUUGGUGGAUUAAGUGUCCCUAAUCAAGACAUCCAUUUUAGAUUACAUUCAAAGGAUCUUGUUUGUGUAUUAUUUUGAAUACUGUGAGACCUGGCUAUUCCCGGACAGUGGCUGAAAUGGCUUUCCAAGUAUGGGGCCUUCAGACUGCACCCUAGAUCUAAGACCUAGGAGCCUGCCUCAGUCUGAGAAGUUUCUCAAAAAAAAAAAAAGGAGGGGGCAUUACUUCCCAAUUAACUCAAUUAACUUCUUCUGGUGUUUAAGAAGCUACCAGGAAAUUAACCAAAUAAGGUCUCCUGCCUACUGUCUAUGUCUGAGGAACUCCGGGCCCUGGAAGUGAUUUCUUAAAGAAUGUACUAACCAACCUCAGGACUGCAAUUAGGUUCUACCAAGGAGAGGAAUGACAUCAGAGAAGGAGCCAUCUGUUUCCUGCUGAGCCCCCAACAGAGACACUUUCCAAUCAAGAAUGUACUGCAGCGAAUUCAAGAAGUACCAGUGUGGAACAUUAUAAGUGCCUCUGGGAGCAUCAACAGAAUAUUCAACAGAAUUUUCAUUUGUGAAUAUGGCUCGCACCAACAAAGGGGUCUCUCACUGAACCCAGGACAAGGCAGCCAUCUUCCAUCGAUGGGAUGGAGUUAACAAGCAGGUGUGUGUGUGACCACACCGGGUUUUCCCACGGGUGCUGAUGACUUGAACUCAGGGCCUUCAACUUGUCUAAAAGUAUCCUCCCACUUCUCGUGAUCUGUGGGAAAGAAUACAAAGUGUGAACAGAUAAGGAAAAUACACAAAGAAAUACAAAGUAGCAAGCCCAGCUCAGAAAAGUCCCAUGCUGCCAAAUGGUCAGGAAGGUUUAAUUUUGUCCAAAAAAAAAAAAAGUCUGAAAAGCUGUAACAAAGCCCAAAAGCCAAGGUGCCACAUGUAGGCUGCAGAUGUGAACAGCGGCAGAAACCGUCCUUUCUCUGGGUUGAUGUAAAAAGACAACCCAAGAGUCUCACCGAGGCACACGCAAAACCAGCCAGGAAUGACGCUUUGAAGCCAUCCUUUAAAUGAACUGUCUCGGUGUCCUACAGUUCAUCAAAGGUUUCCUGUCUCUGAAAGGUCAGCCUCAUAUCCCUUACCCUUUCUGAAUCUCAGUCUCCUUUCAGCUCUUCACUGACAAACGGCGAGCAGGGGCCUCUUCGUCCUAACAAUCUCGAUUGCACAGUUCACAGAUUCUUAAGAUAAAUCACUACGCGAAUAUCAUAUACAGUCUUUGGUCUGUCUCACGGGUCUAUGUUAAAAAAUAAAAAUAAAAACCAAUACUUUUGUAAUAGCGAGGGGGUGUUGAAACCCUGAUUAAAUAAAGUGAGGUUAAAAACUCGGGAAGACA
RNAcentral lists this small RNA (1402 nucleotides) under Rattus norvegicus (Norway rat). Its description in RNAcentral is "uncharacterized LOC102555516". Lineage: Eukaryota; Metazoa; Chordata; Mammalia; Rodentia; Muridae. The record is from RNAcentral.